AUCUUCAUGCUCAGUAUCUCAGCAGUCGUUGGUCAAGACAGUGCAGAAAGUAGCAGCAGCGGCAGAAGCAAUUGCUAGUGGAGUGCUAUUUCGCGAGUGUGAUCAGUUGACCCGAAAAAAAAAACCGUUAAACAGAUUUCUAAAGAUGGGCAGUUUAAGUAUAUGUCUGUUGAUCAUAAUUGUCACAAAUGCAGUAAUUGGAAUACCUAUGGUUGGACAAAGUGACAGUGCAGUUCCAGCAACGGCAGAUGAUGUUCGUGUUUCAAAAAUGCACAUUAGUGACAGCUCAUCUUCAAUUUAUAAUGCUGGCAUUGCUAGUGUAAAUGGACGAUUUGGAAAAAGCAUUCGGGCAUUUACGGUGAAUGAGUUUGAAAAGUAUAUAGGUGGAUUGGCAUAACCUAGUGAGCUUCUUUUAUUUAUAUGUGAAAUGCUUGUAUGUUGAAUAUGUUAGUGUUACAAAAAGCCUACCAGCAAUCUAUUUUUUAAUAUAGUCUGUCGUACUGCCCAUAUUCGCAUAGUCAAUGUAACCACCACUGGCAAUACCACCAUUCAAAAGCUAAUAUCUAACGCAUGUGCAUAUUUGUGACAAGUUUUAUUCAAUAGAUCACAAGAUCUAACCUUCAGUUAGAUGUCAACGUGGUAAAAAUCUGGAAAUGUAUAUUUAUUCAUUGUUAAAAUUCCAAAAGCAUGUUGAAAAGUACAGUGGCGCUUACAUCGACUAUGCGAAUAUGGGCAGCGUACUUCAUACUGUUUUUGAAUGUCAGUAUUAGUUUACAUGCUCCUAAAAUCAAUUGCAUGUUUAUGUUACCAGUUAUGAAUUUACAAAGAGGCCAUGAAAUUAAAUAAAGAAAACGGUUCAAUCGUUCAAUAA
Aedes albopictus (Asian tiger mosquito) is the source of this 871-nucleotide long non-coding RNA. RefSeq lists it as uncharacterized. The transcript is spliced from 3 exons. The record is from RefSeq and is a predicted model, not a curated record. NCBI's taxonomy places the organism in Eukaryota, Metazoa, Arthropoda, Insecta, Diptera, Culicidae.